RNAcentral lists this ribosomal RNA (566 nucleotides) under Papiliotrema laurentii. RNAcentral's name for it is "partial large subunit ribosomal RNA". It matches the Rfam family "Eukaryotic large subunit ribosomal RNA", at positions 94 to 648 of the family's 3401-position model. The record is from RNAcentral. Lineage: Eukaryota; Fungi; Basidiomycota; Tremellomycetes; Tremellales; Rhynchogastremaceae.
UGAACCGAGGAAGAGCUCAAAUUUGAAAUCUGGCGUCCUCAGGGCGUCCGAGUUGUAAUCUAUAGAGGCGUUUUCCGUGCCGGACCGUGUCCAAGUUCCUUGGAACAGGAUAUCAAAGAGGGUGACAAUCCCGUACUUGACACGACGACCGGUGCUCUGUGAUACGUCUUCUACGAGUCGAGUUGUUUGGGAAUGCAGCUCAAAAUGGGUGGUGAGUUCCAUCUAAAGCUAAAUAUUGGCGAGAGACCGAUAGCGAACAAGUACCGUGAGGGAAAGAUGAAAAGCACUUUGGAAAGAGAGUUAAACAGUACGUGAAAUUGUUGAAAGGGAAACGAUUGAAGUCAGUCGUGACCGAGAGGCUCAGCCGGUUCUGCCGGUGUAUUCCCCUCGGUCGGGUCAACAUCAGUUUUGUCCGGUGGAUAAGGGCGGUAGGAAGGUGGCACCCUCGGGUGUGUUAUAGCCUGCCGUCGCAUACAUCGGGUGAGACUGAGGAACGCAGCUCGCCUUUAUGGCCGGGGUUCGCCCACGUCCGAGCUUAGGAUGUUGACAUAAUGGCUUUAAACGAC